Molecule: long non-coding RNA, 1969 nt
Filed under: Homo sapiens (human)
Lineage: Eukaryota; Metazoa; Chordata; Mammalia; Primates; Hominidae
Description: HSALNT0172673
Source: RNAcentral
CAAAAGACUGAAAAGAGGAACUUGAACAAAUCCUUGUAUGAGAAUGUUCACAGCAGCACUAUCCACAGCAGCCAAAAGAUGGAAAUAAUCCAAAUGUCCAUCAACGGAUAAGUGAGCUUAAGGUACUGUGACCGAGCUUUCAUGGAAAUCAGGAAGAUUCUGAGAGAAUCCAAAUGUGACCAUCUGGGAGAGUUAAGAGAAGAAAAUACACCAUGUGGAGAGACAAGGACUGCCACUCCUGGAGUUCCAAAUGGACAGAAGGAGAGAGCUUCCUCGCAUCUUUGGGAAAAUCCUAUCUACAUAGCAUAAAUGCCCCAUACUCCACCCUGGAAGAGGCUAAUCAGGGGCACCUCCUCAUGGGUGCCAGAUAUUAGAAGAUUUUACAGGCUCCAUUGCGGCAGAAGGUAAUCAAAAAGGCCCAAGCCCCACCCUACAGAGAGCAGCAGCAUGACCUUAAACUGCCUUUGCUGGUCACUUGGAGAGGGAGGGUCCAUUUUCCUCAGUGGGCAACAAAGCCGCUGAUAAUCAGGUGCACACAUGACGUGGAUGUAACCUGCUGAGGAAGUGUCUGAUAUACCAAAGGAGCCAGGACUCACAACAAGCCUGGCCAGGAAAAAGAAGCCUCAGAGAACCCCAGAGCAGCCUCUACUUUGUAGAUGAUAUGAGUAAAUACAACGCAGACAGCCACUUAGCAAGUUCAGAGCCACUUCCAAACGACGCUGAGGGCCUGGUGUCAGCUCCUGCACAGCAGGCUCCAUUCUCUCCCCUUCAGGCUGUGUGCAUGUUCACUCCAGUGAGUCACAAAGACACAUUCCCAGGUGCGCACCUGGCCAAAAGCACAGAAGAGGAAGUCGCACAUGUGACCAUCCUCUGCCAACCAGCCCACGUGUACAGCAGAAAUCAGUAUUGUUUGCCUCUGUAAUAAAAUCAUUGCAUAAAUUUUGUAGAGCUUUGAAUCGGCCUCGUAAGUGUCACCAGGCAACUCUUCCAAGAAGGGUAGGGGGAUGGUGAGGUAGAGAACUCCAGGGACACAGAAAAGGACCAUGGUGUGUUUCUUGCAAAGCCCUUGUGCUGGAAAUGCUAUGAAGGCAAAAACUUUAUGCUGACCAUGAAACCCAAUCAAUAUAACACAAAAUUCAGGCCAGGUACAAUGGCUCACACCUGUAAUUCCAGCAUUUUGGGAAGCCAAGGCGGGCAGAUUGCUUUAGCUCAGGAGUUCGAGACAAGCCUGGGCAAACAUGGCGAAACCCCGUCUCUAUAGAAAAUACAAAAAAAGGCCAGGAGUAGUGGCUCAUGCCUGUAAUCCCAGCACUUUGGGAGGCCGAGGCAGGCAGAUCACCUGAGGUCAGGAGUUCAAGACUAGCCUGGCCAGCAUGGUGAAACCCUGUCUCUACUAAAAAAUACAAAAAUUAGCCAGGUGUAGUGGUGGGUACCUGUAAUCUCAGCUACUUGGGAGGCUGCGGCAGGAGAAUCGCUUGAACCUGGGAGUGGGAGGUUGCAGGGAGCCAAGAUCACACCACUGCACUCCAGCCUGGGCAACAAGAGUGAAACUCCAUCUAAAAAAAAGAAAAAAAAAGGAAAAGAAAAUACUAAAAAAUAGCCAGGUGUGGUGGUGCACGCCUGUGGUCCCAGCUACUUGGGAGGCUGAGGUGGGAGAAUCACUUGAGUCUGGGGUGCAGAGGCUGCAGUGAGCUGAGAUCAUGCCACUGCACUCCAGCCUGGGCAACAGAGCAAGACUGUGUCUCAAAAAAGAAAAAAAAUCCUCGAUAAAACUACAGAACCUUGCACUUGUAGCAACCAAUGCUUCCACUCCACACUGGAGUUCUCUCUGAAAGCAUUGCAAAAAUCCCUGUUAAGGUCAUGGGCCAAAACAUAAGGGAGACAAAACCACAAAGGGUGACAUCAGUUGCUUGUAAUGGUUUAGCUGCCAUGUGGUGGUAGCCAUAAGACGGCUGCUAAUCUGUAUCUU